Molecule: ribosomal RNA, 1218 nt
Filed under: metagenome
Description: bacterial LSU rRNA
Rfam family: Bacterial large subunit ribosomal RNA
Source: RNAcentral
CGUCCUUCUCUUCGGGAUAAGCAUGACCUCGUUAGGGUGAAGGGACUUGCUCCCGGAGCUCGAAGAGGUGGCACAGAAUUGGGGGAAGCGACUGUUUACUAAAAACACAGCAGCGUGCGAAGCCGAAAGGCGCUGUAUACGCUGUGACGCCUGCCCAAUGCUGGAAGGUCACGGGGAAGGGUUAGCCCUAGGGCGAAGCUCUGAACCUAAGCCCCAGUGAAUGGCGGCCGUAACUAUAACGGUCCUAAGGUAGCGAAAUUCCUUGUCGGGUAAGUUCCGACCUGCACGAAUGGCGUAACGACUUCCCUACUGUCUCAACCACAGACCCAGCGAAAUUGAAGUACGAGUAAAGAUGCUCGUUAGCUGUAGAAGGACGAAAAGACCCCGUGGACCUUUACUAUAGCUUGAUAUUGAGUCUUGUCAUGCGUUGUGUAGGAUAGGUGGGAGGCUAGGAAGCAUGCACGCCAGUGUGUGUGGAGCCAUCCUUGAAAUACCACCCUGCGUAUGGCGGGACUCUCACCCUGACCCGUUAUCCGGGCCGGGGACAGUGUCAGGUGGGUAGUUUGACUGGGGCGGUCGCCUCCUAAAGAGUAACGGAGGCGCCCAAAGGUUCCCUCAGACUGGUUGGCAAUCAGUCGUCGAGCGCAAUGGCAUAAGGGAGCUUGACUGCGAGACGUACAGGUCGAGCAGGUGCGAAAGCAGGGCAUAGUGAUCCGGCGGUUGCGUGUGGAAGCGCCGUCGCUCAACGGAUAAAAGGUACCCCGGGGAUAACAGGCUAAUCUUCCCCAAGAGUCCAUAUCGACGGGAAGGUUUGGCACCUCGAUGUCGGCUCAUCGCAUCCUGGGGCUGAAGCAGGUCCCAAGGGUUGGGCUGUUCGCCCAUUAAAGCGGUACGCGAGCUGGGUUUAGAACGUCGCGAGACAGUUCGGUCCCUAUCCUCUACAGCCGGAAGUGACUUGAGAAAAGCUGUCCCUAGUACGAGAGGACCGGGAUGGACGCAGCUCUCGUGUGCCAGUUGUCCUGCCAAGGGCAUGGCUGGUUAGCGACCUGCGGGCGAGAUAACCGCUGAAAGCAUCUAAGCGGGAAGCUCCUUUCAAGAUGAGGUCACUCACAGGGUCAACCUGGUAAGGCCCGUGGUAGGCCACCACGUUGAUAGGCCGGAAGUGUAAGCGCGGUAACGCGUUCAGCUGACCGGUACUAAUCGGCCGAGGGCUUGGCU